Molecule: ribosomal RNA, 337 nt
Filed under: uncultured Bacillota bacterium
Lineage: Bacteria; Bacillati; Bacillota
Description: bacterial SSU rRNA
Rfam family: Bacterial small subunit ribosomal RNA
Source: RNAcentral
GACGAACGCUGGCGGCGUGCCUAAUACAUGCAAGUCGAGCGGAUGACGAGAGAAGCUUGCUUCUCUCUGAUUUAGCGGCGGACGGGUGAGUAACACGUGGGUAACCUACCUUAUAGAUUGGGAUAACUCCGGGAAACCGGGGCUAAUACCGAAUAAUACUUUUAAACACAUGUUUGAUUGUUGAAAGGCGGUUUCGGCUGUCACUAUAAGAUGGACCCGCGGCGCAUUAGCUAGUUGGUGAGGUAACGGCUCACCAAGGCAACGAUGCGUAGCCGACCUGAGAGGGUGAUCGGCCACACUGGGACUGAGACACGGCCCAGACUCCUACGGGAGGCAG